GAAUUCGGCUUCGGUAAUUCCAGCUCCAAUAGCGUAUACUAAUACUGUUGCUGUUAAAAAGCUCGUAGUUCGACAAGGAUUGGAUCUGGUUCUGAUUCAGCGACUCGUAACUCUGUUGCAGUCGUUCGAUGAAGGCCGUUUGGAUCCGAUUCUGCAAUGAGGGACUUGUAUGGAUGAAGAGCUCUUCAUUGAGCUUGGAUUCGCUUCCGCAGUCAACAUCUGCAUGCGUACAGUCCUUCGCGAUACCGUGAACAAAACAGCGUGCUCAAAGCAAGUGAUUCUGCUCGAAUGUUCAAGCAUGGAAUAUCAAGGAAGCGACCGUGAGUCUAAUCUUUGCUGGUUUCUGUAUGUUCCUUGAGGAAUUGAGCCUGAGAAUAGCGUUCUGUCCUGCAAGUUACUUUCGAGUGCUUCGGGCCAAGUACGAUGCUCUAGUUUACCGGUAUUAACGGGGAUGAGCGGAGCAGUGUGUAUUGGUUGCGUUAGAGGUGAAAUUCUUAGAUCGCACCAAGACAGACAUAAGCGAAGGCAUUCUGCAAGUAUAUCUUCAUUAAUCAAGAACGAGAGUGCAGGGAUCGAAGAUGAUCAGAUACCGUCGUAGUCUGCUACUGUAAACGAUGCGAACUCGGGAUCAGCUGUCGCCAAUCAUUUUGAUUACCAGGCUGGAACCUACUUAUUCUCUCUUAGCGCGAAAGCUUUAAGUUUAUGCGUUCAGGGGGGAGUACAGUUGCAAGGCUGAAACUUAAAGGAAUUGACGGAAUGACACCACAAGGCGUGGGUGCUGCGGCUUAAUGUGACUCAACACGGGAAAUCUUACCAGGUCAGGACGCACGUUGGAUUGACAGAUUGAAAGCUCUUUCUUGAUUGUGUAUGGUGGUGCAUGGCCGCUCUUUGUUCGUGGAUUGAUUUGUCUGGUUGAUUCCGGUAACGAACGAGAUCUUGACCUUUUAAUGACAGUUAGAUCGCUUGUAGUCCAAUGUUCAUGCGCUUGCGUAUUGUCGUUGUGCGAGAUCUUGGCAUGUACUUAAAGGGACUAUGCGUGUUGACAGUGCAUGGAAGUGAAAGCCUAUAGCAGGUCUGUGAUGCCCCUAGAUGUUCUGGACUGCACGCGGCAUACAAUGGUGAAGAAAACGAGUUUGGUUUGUUUGAGCUCCCUGUGAGAAAUCAUUGGGAAAUCUGUGUAACCUUCAUCGUAUUGGGGAUCGUUGCUUGCAAUUAUUUGCCUUGAACCAGGAAUGCCUUGUAGACUCGACUCAGCAAGUCGAAUCGAAUACGUCCCUGCCGUUUGUACACACCGCCCGUCGUUGCAAUCGAUCGGUUCAAUGCUAGAGGUUCUCUAGAGGUGAGACCUGACGACUUGUCUGAAGGCCUUGCUUAGUUAAUCAAUAGCCUUGAACUAGAGAAUGCAAAAGUCGUAACAAGGUAAGCCGAAUUC
Molecule: ribosomal RNA, 1432 nt
Filed under: uncultured eukaryote
Lineage: Eukaryota
Description: SSU rRNA
Rfam family: Eukaryotic small subunit ribosomal RNA
Source: RNAcentral